Long non-coding RNA from Mauremys mutica (yellowpond turtle), 391 nucleotides. RefSeq lists it as uncharacterized. NCBI's taxonomy places the organism in Eukaryota, Metazoa, Chordata, Testudines, Geoemydidae. The transcript is spliced from 3 exons. The record is from RefSeq and is a predicted model, not a curated record.
CAAUAACGAGUUUACAAAUAAUUGGGACUCGCUGGAUGAACAGAAACCACUAUUCAUUCCAUAUGUGUUCCACUCUGCUUUGAGAAAGGUGCUGAAAACCAGAUCAAGAAUACAGAAAAUGACUGUUCAUUUAGUGCAGUUGGGAUUUCUGACUCAGGCUCUGGUGUCAGCAGUUGAAACCACAUAAAAUCAGAAUGAGGCUGGACCUCCCAGUUGACUUCCAGCUCAUUGGACAAUGAGCUAUGCCUUUAAAAGGAAUAUUUUUAUGUUCACAUUUGUGGAGCACGUACGUUGCUGUUUUCCGCUCUAAACUAAAAGCCAGAAGAUACAAAUGCAUAAAGCAGGUGACGCAGAAGAUGUUAUCAGAUUGAAAUGAAAUGACACAAACGUG